GAUCAUUUUUCUCCUGCACCAGCUUCACCAUUUUCUCCUCUAGCUCCUUCCUCUUUGCCUCAGACUUUGCAAGCUCUUCCUUGGUUUUCUCAAACUCUUGUUUCAUGUUGGCCAUCUCCUUCUCAGAUUCUGCACUCUUCAGCAAAGGCUUGAUUUUGAAGAACAGCUUCAUCCAGGGCCAGUGUUUGACAUUCAUGAAUGCACGAAUGUUGUACUGGAUGCAGAAGAUGGACUCUCUGAAUGGAAGCCCCUGCACCUGGCCUGUGUGCGAGUAAUGAGCUGUGCCAGCUUCUCAUCCCUCAUCUCCUCCAAAAGGCCUAUCAGCCCAGCUUUGAAGAACACCUUAGGAACCCUGAAUUAGAAUAAUCCUAUGACAAUGAAUUUCACUGUUUUAUUGAAGUGGACUCUGUUGGGAAAUCCUUUCCUGCAAAUUCUGAUCCCUUCCAGCACACCAUUACACCGGAGCUGAUGCAACACCAGCUCAUGUUCCAUGGCACCUAACAAUUCAGAGCACAAAUGAAUGUUGUAUUCUGUAAUGCAUCAGGAAAUACCUGCACCAUAUUGAAGACUUUCUGUAUACAUGACUAUGGCAAUUCCCAACUUCUGCCUAGUUCUUUAAAAAGAGAAGACUCAGAAAACUGGAGGCAUGGGUUCUAGCUCCUGCUCUGACAGAGAGGAAUCAAAUCCACCUCUCUCAUCAAAGUUGCCUGGACAUAAGAUAGUUUUGACAGUGACCUUCCCUGUUUCCCUGCUCUGGAUUGUCCCUUUUACAAAGGAUUCCUUGGGAUGGGCCACAAAGACGGAUGACUUAGCAUCAAAAGGGCUAGACUCUGCUGUGACCAGAAGCAAACCACAGCACAGUCAAAAGACAAGAGGCAACCUCAAAGCCAUCUCUGGAUACAGACUGUCCUGCACAGCAGUGUGAUGUGGGCAAGGCACUGGCAUGCUGAUAUUUUCCAUGGAGGAGAGAGGAUUCAGGCGUACUGAAAAUAGAACCCUCUUGAGAUGGAGAUGAGGAAGCUGCCUCACUUUCUGCCAGCCCUUAAGAUAUGUUAUUUUAUUCUCCUGAGCCCUGUGGUUGUUGAGAGAUGAAGAGUGAGAAGAUGCUUCUUAGAUGGGCAACUAGAUUGGAGUGAGGAUGUGGAAGAACCUACAGACUGCCAAAUGUUGGCUACUGAGAACCUCCCUUCCAUUCCCAUUCAGUGCAGUUGAGCUUGCGAGCUGGAAACAUGCAAAUGUACCUGUAUGACAAGUACAUAUGUAAAAUUUUAAUUUCUAAAUUAAACUGUACAGUAUCACAAGCUUCAACUAUUUACAGCUUUUUUUAGCUGCAUUGACUUUAACCUUAUUAAGUCAGUCUCACUUGACUCCUCUUUCCCACCAACUUUCCCCAUGUGCCUAUUUCACAAAGACAGAACGUCACUGGCUUCCUGAGGAAUUUUUUUUCCCCUGAAGAACACAUAUUCAACUGAGAGGAAUUCAAGUAGCCCACUUAUGAUGAGACAAAAUUCAACUUCACCAAAUUUUUGAAUGGCACUAAAUUAGACAGAGUAGAUGAUAUGACAAAUGACAGAGCUUCAUUCCAAAGGGACUUUAUUUAACUUUAAGAAACAACAUUAAGACUGGAUCAACCUUAUGAAGAUCAUUGCAGAAAAGUACAAAGCUCACAUCUGGGAAAAGAAUAAGUCCCAGGUGUCAGUACAGGGUGGGAACUAACCAGUUCAGCAGAAGCCUUGCCAAAAAGGACUUGGAAGUUAUGGUGGAUGCCCAGAAGAAUAAUGAGUGCUCUCACUGCAAACAUGACAAAGUACUGGAUGAUGUUAAAAGCAUGUUCAGUUGAUUGUAGGAAACCAUUAACCCUCUUGCUGGGUACUGGUGGGUUGUCAUCUGAAGUGGUUUGUCCACUUCUGGGCUCUCCUGUUCAGAAAGGUUGUGCACUAAUGGGAGAAGGUGCAGCAGAGGGCUACCAAGAUGAUCUAGAAAACUAGUCCUAUGAGGAGAUUUUGAGGAUAUUUAAUCUGAGGAAAAAAGGUCUACGUUUCAUGAGGGGAAGUUAUAAGUACAAGAUUUCAAACUUUUCUCAUUAGUAGCAGACAAUUUAACUAGGGAUGAUGAUCACAUAUCACAUCUGGAGAGGCUCCAGUAAGUCAUUAGGAAAAUUCUUCACUAUUAGGUAAUGUCGUAAUGGCACAGGCUACCCAAGAGAGGUGGCUGAGCCUAAGGCGUGGCUAAUCAAAGCCAUGACUAACCUGACUGAUAUCAGCAAGACAUCUUGAGUUGGGAGACUGAAUAAAAGCCCUCCAAAUGUCCCUUUACAACAGGAUUUCUGUGACUCUAAUGUAGAGACCUCUCUUUAUCCAAUCUUUAUCUCUUUAUCCAAGUGGACAAUAGCUCAAAGCUGGGCAGAUAUUUGCAGCUUCAUGUCUUGUCAUGAAUAUUUUUCUUGAGA
Long non-coding RNA from Oxyura jamaicensis (ruddy duck), 2449 nucleotides. RefSeq lists it as uncharacterized. The transcript is spliced from 7 exons. The record is from RefSeq and is a predicted model, not a curated record. NCBI's taxonomy places the organism in Eukaryota, Metazoa, Chordata, Aves, Anseriformes, Anatidae.